This 116-nucleotide ribosomal RNA is filed under the name Pedosphaera sp. Lineage: Bacteria; Pseudomonadati; Verrucomicrobiota; Pedosphaerae; Pedosphaerales; Pedosphaeraceae. The record is from RNAcentral. RNAcentral also lists the same sequence under 2 other names.
UAUGGUGGCCAUAAAGCGGUGGCCCGACCCGAUCCCAUCCCGAACUCGGCCGUCAAACACCGCAUUGCCGAUGGUAGUGCUUGUAUAGCUUGCGCGAGAGUAGGUAGCCGCCAAAC